This 307-nucleotide small RNA is filed under the name Pongo abelii (Sumatran orangutan). RNAcentral's name for it is "processed transcript". Lineage: Eukaryota; Metazoa; Chordata; Mammalia; Primates; Hominidae. The record is from RNAcentral.
ACCUACAACCGCAUCAUCAACCAGAUCUCUACCAAUGAGAUCCAGAGUGACCAGAACCUGAAGGUGCUGCCACCCCCUCUGCCCACUAUGCCCACUCUCACCAGCCUCCCAUCUUCCACUGACAAGCCGUCGGGAAUCAUCAUUUCUGGAAGAAGCAGGCCAGAGGCUCCCCUGUCAGAAUGUCAGCACACAUCCAGUCCCCUGAAGCUCAGCCCCUUGUUCAUCCAGAACACCUGAGCCUUCCCAGUGGGCUGCCAUAUGAGAACUAUAUUCAUCUCUGCAUAAACGAACCAUGUAUCUACUCCAA